AGUAGCGGCAUGCUACGUCGUAUGGGGAAUGGCUCGGCUCGAGCGCCGAUGAAGGUCGUGUCAAGCUGCGAUAUGCGCCGGGU
RNAcentral lists this ribosomal RNA (83 nucleotides) under Methanomassiliicoccus sp. RNAcentral's name for it is "partial 23S ribosomal RNA". It matches the Rfam family "Archaeal large subunit ribosomal RNA", at positions 1 to 83 of the family's 2987-position model. The record is from RNAcentral. Lineage: Archaea; Methanobacteriati; Thermoplasmatota; Thermoplasmata; Methanomassiliicoccales; Methanomassiliicoccaceae.